Molecule: ribosomal RNA, 253 nt
Filed under: uncultured bacterium
Lineage: Bacteria
Description: partial 16S ribosomal RNA
Rfam family: Bacterial small subunit ribosomal RNA
Source: RNAcentral
UACGUAGGGUGCGAGCGUUAAUCGGAAUUACUGGGCGUAAAGCGUGCGCAGGCGGUUUUGUAAGCCAGAUGUGAAAUCCCCGGGCUUAACCUGGGAAUGGCAUUUGGGACUGCAAGGCUGGAGUGCGGCAGAGGAGACUGGAAUUCCUGGUGUAGCAGUGAAAUGCGUAGAUAUCAGGAGGAAUACCGAUGGCGAAGGCAGGUCUCUGGACAGUUCCUGACGCUGAGGCACGAAGGUCAGGGGAGCAAACGGG